Molecule: ribosomal RNA, 429 nt
Filed under: uncultured bacterium
Lineage: Bacteria
Description: bacterial SSU rRNA
Rfam family: Bacterial small subunit ribosomal RNA
Source: RNAcentral
UGGGGAAUAUUGGACAAUGGGCGAAAGCCUGAUCCAGCAAUGCCGCGUGUGCGAUGAAGGCCUGCGGGUUGUAAAGCACUUUCGGUAGGGAAGAAAUGCUCAAAAAUAAUAAAUUUGAGAGCUGACAUUACCUACAGAAGAAGCACCGGCAAACUCUGUGCCAGCAGCCGCGGUAAUACAGAGGGUGCAAGCGUUAAUCGGAGUUACUGGGCGUAAAGGGCGCGUAGGCGGAUAUUUAAGUCGGAUGUGAAAUCCCUGGGCUCAACCUAGGAAUUGCAUUCGAUACUGAAUGACUAGAGUAUGGUAGAGGAAAGUGGAAUUCUCGGUGUAGUGGUAAAAUACGUAGAUAUCGAGAAGAACACCGGUGGCGAAGGCGGCUUUCUGGACCAAUACUGACGCUGAGGCGCGAAAGCGUGGGGAGCAAACAGG